Molecule: ribosomal RNA, 444 nt
Filed under: uncultured bacterium
Lineage: Bacteria
Description: bacterial SSU rRNA
Rfam family: Bacterial small subunit ribosomal RNA
Source: RNAcentral
GUAGGGAAUAUUGGGCAAUGGUCGGAAGACUGACCCAGCCAUGCCGCGUGCCGGAUGAAGGCCUUCUGGGUUGUAAACGGCUUUUAUCUAGGAAGAAAAGACUCUUGCGAGAGGAACUGACGGUACUAGGUGAAUAAGCACCGGCUAACUCCGUGCCAGCAGCCGCGGUAAUACGGAGGGUGCAAGCGUUGUCCGGAUUUAUUGGGUUUAAAGGGUGCGUAGGCGGCUUAGUAAGUCCGUGGUGAAAGCCAACAGCUCAACUGUUGAACUGCCAUGGAUACUGCUAGGCUUGAGUACAGACGAGGUAGGCGGAAUGGAUAGUGUAGCGGUGAAAUGCAUAGAUACUAUCCAGAACACCGAUUGCGAAGGCAGCUUACUAGGCUGUAACUGACGCUGAGGCACGAAAGCGUGGGGAGCGAACAGGAUUAGAUACCCUAGUAGUCC